AGUAUAGUGGUUAGUAUCCCCGCCUGUCACGCGGGAGACCGGGGUUCAAUUCCCCGCCGGGGAGGAUCAAAUCUUUUCUAUACCGGCGAUAUAGAUCAAAUCCGCCGCUAUCUCUGCAGAGUUUCUACUUUCUCCCCGUUGUCGCCUGCGUUUCCUCCGAGAACUAAUAUUCUUUCUUCUUGUGAAAAUCCAAUGGCUUUUAGCAGACCAACAUAAGGUGUAGUACCGCCGCCUACUGAGUUGGAGUGUGGAGCAAAGAGACAGGAAGUAGAGCCACUAAAUUGCUCCUCCGUAGAAACAAACUCAACAUCAAAAAGUCCAGUGCUUUUCAGAAAGUAAAACACGCAUUUGUAUACAUUACGAUGGCAGUGAUAUCCUAACAAACGUUCCAUGUUAAACGGCGUCUCUCAAAUAUCUCAAUUUAGCAACGAGAUGUUUCCUUUGCGCUCAUAGAAACAUGCCGCACCAUUUCCCGACAAGUCCCCUCCGUGGAAAUGCAGGCUCCAGUUCCACAUUUUAAAGACGUAGGUGACAUACACAAAAUACGGGAGAACUUCAGCGGGUCAGGCAGCAUCCAUGGAAAUGAACGAAGAGUAAAUGUUUUGGGCCGAGACGCUUCUUCCGGGCGGGAAAAGGAGGAGGACGGUGAGAAGAGGGGAAGACGAGUGAAGAGAGUGAAGCCAGGUGGGUGGGAAAGGUAAAGGGCUGGAGAUGAAUAUUUGAUAGGAGAGGGCCAUAUCGGCGAAAGCGAAGGAGAAGGGGACUCCAGGAGAAUGUGAUUGGCAGGUGUGAAGAGGUGAGAGGCCAGAGUGGGGGAAUAGAAGAGGGGAGGGAAAGAUCAUUGUUUCUUACUGGAAGGAGAAAUUGAUAUUCAUGCAUUGAGGUUGGAGGCUACCCAGAUGGAAUAUAGGUGUUGCUCCUCCACCCUAAGAGUGACUUAAUCGUGGCAUGAGAGGACACCAUGGACCCACACUUCGCAAGGUGAAUGGGAACCGGAAUUAAACUGAUAGGCCACCAGGAAGUUAGACCAUAAGAAGGAGGGUGGAGUUCUGUCAAAGACCUUGACCAACAGCUGCUCUCAAGCUUCAGUUCUUUACGAUGCUGGUUCCUGCACUUGGGGCUCACCGACCAGCCAUUUUUCGAUAUCUCAAGGACGCGGCCCUGGGGACGAGCUGAUUCCAAGUCGACGCUGAAGCAUCACUGGAGAAAACACAAUAUCAGGAACAGCGGAUCAGCUUUCGAGAGCUCUGUACUCAGAUCACUCUCUUCCUCCUUCUCUCAUUAGAGAGUGGGGGAAAGUUCAUUGCUGAUCCUCGAGUCAGAGAACUUGGAAAAAAGUGACGCAGCGGACUUAAAAACCCUCCUGCAGUGCCUGUCCAAUGUUGGCCUGAGGUGGAAUGGGUAUUGCUACCAGGGUGAUGGUGGAAAACUCCCUGGGCAGAUAAAAUGGACAAGAUUUGACUGCUAGAUGUUCCAGGUCAGCUUGACCUUAUCAACUCCUUUAAAAGAUGAGGUGCCAGAAAAUACUGCAUUGGAAUGUCAAGAUUUAUUAUGAGCUGAGGUCCCUGGAAUUAGCUUGAAUCCAUCGCCCUUGUGUCACAGGAAUACGUGUCAGCCAGUCAAGAUGGUGGAAUUGGGAGAAGUAUCUCAGGAGACACUUGAGAAGGAUUUGUGAUGGACACUGGUGGAGUUCAUGGUCUGUGGCAGGAGAAGAGAAGAUCAGCAGAGACAGCCAUUGAUCUGAUGAGUAGACACAACUGCAAGGACUGCUUUGCGAGAUAAAGGAAUCCAAGAUGGGGAGCUCUACCGGUGACUGGUGGUGAGAAUUCAGCCCCGUAAAUAACAGUUAUAACCAGCUUUUGGAAGAUAAGAGGUGCAACGGUCAUGUGCACAUUUAGACUGGUUUAAAUAGGUCCUGUUUUACUUUCUUUUCUUUCUCUUUUUAACUGUUUGAUAAAGCUGAAAAUAGUAAACGUAAU
Long non-coding RNA from Hypanus sabinus (Atlantic stingray), 1979 nucleotides. RefSeq lists it as uncharacterized. The transcript is spliced from 5 exons. The record is from RefSeq and is a predicted model, not a curated record. NCBI's taxonomy places the organism in Eukaryota, Metazoa, Chordata, Chondrichthyes, Myliobatiformes, Dasyatidae.